RNAcentral lists this ribosomal RNA (210 nucleotides) under uncultured bacterium. Its description in RNAcentral is "partial 16S ribosomal RNA". It matches the Rfam family "Bacterial small subunit ribosomal RNA", at positions 524 to 734 of the family's 1533-position model. The record is from RNAcentral.
UACGUAGGGUGCUAGCGUUAUCCGGAAUUACUGGGCGUAAAGGGCGCGCAGGCGGUCUUUCAAGUCGGUGGUAAAAGGCCACGGCUCAACCGUAUUAAGCCGCCGAAACUGGAAGACUUGAGUGCAGGAGAGGCAAGUGGAAUUCCCAGUGUAGCGGUGAAAUGCGUAGAGAUUGGGAAGAACACCAGUGGCGAAGGCGGCUCUCUGGAC